CCUUCUUUGGUUGAUGGAAGAGAGGAAACUAUAAGGAAGGGUUUGUCAAACAGCCGGUUGCUUCAGGCAUUUUGAUUUCUCACCAGGAUUGUCUCUGAAUUACUGGGUUUAAGGGAACUUUUUUAAACUCAUAUAUAUCUAUAUUUUUUUUACUUAGAUUUUACUUAGAUUUUUUAAACUUAGAUUUCUCUUAAAACAAAUUUCAGUAAUAGAUUGAGCUUUCUUUCUUUCUUCUGCCAUUUUCCUUCCUCUUUUUCUUUUCUUCCUUCCUUAUUCCUUCAUUUCUUUUUUUUCUUCACAGUUUAGUCACAAGGUAUCCUUGAACAAAUCAAGAAUCCUACUUUGGAAGUACCAACUUGGUCUUUGGAAAUGUGAAAAAGAAGGAAUUGGUCAAAUAUCACUUUACUGGGUGGCUGCUGAAGCAUGA
Molecule: long non-coding RNA, 427 nt
Filed under: Monodelphis domestica (gray short-tailed opossum)
Lineage: Eukaryota; Metazoa; Chordata; Mammalia; Didelphimorphia; Didelphidae
Description: lncRNA (ENSMODG00000044697.1)
Source: RNAcentral